AACGAACGCUGGCGGCAGGCUUAACACAUGCAAGUCGAACGGGUGUAGCAAUACAUCAGUGGCAGACGGGUGAGUAACACGUGGGAACCUUCCUAGGGGUACGGAACAACUCAGGGAAACUUGAGCUAAUACCGUAUACGUCCGUGAGGAGAAAGAUUUAUCGCCCUUAGACGGGCCCGCGUCGGAUUAGCUAGUUGGUGGGGUAACGGCCUACCAAGGCGACGAUCCGUAGCUGAUCUUAGAGGAUGAUCAGCCACACUGGGACUGAGACACGGCCCAGACUCCUACGGGAGGCAGCAGUGGUGAAUCUUGGACAAUGGGCGCAAGCCUGAUCCAGCCACGCCGCGUGAGUGAAGAAGGUCUUCGGAUUGUAAAGCUCUUUUGCCAGGGACGAUAAUGACGGUACCUGGAGAAUAAGCCCCGGCAAACUUCGUGCCAGCCGCCGCCGUAA
This 451-nucleotide ribosomal RNA is filed under the name uncultured bacterium. RNAcentral's name for it is "partial 16S ribosomal RNA". It matches the Rfam family "Bacterial small subunit ribosomal RNA", at positions 29 to 523 of the family's 1533-position model. The record is from RNAcentral.